GUACGGGAGGCAGCAGUAAGGAAUAUUGCGCAAUGGGGGAAACCCUGACGCAGCAACGCCGCGUGAGUGAGGAAGGACUUCGGUCUGUAAAGCUCUGUUAAUGAGGAAAAAUGGUAGUUGGUCUAAUAGGCCGAUUAUUUGAUGGUACUCAUAGAGGAAGCACCGGCUAACUUCGUGCCAGCAGCCGCGGUAAUACGAAGGGUGCAAGCGUUGUUCGGAUUUAUUGGGCGUAAAGCGCGCGUAGGCGGACCUGCAAGUCAGAUGUGAAAUCUCGAGGCUCAACCUCGAAACUGCGUCUGAAACUACAGGUCUAGAAUCUCGGAGGGGGAAGGGGAAUAUCGCAUGUAGGGGUAAAAUCCGUAGAUAUGCGAUGGAACACCAGGGGCGAAGGCGCCUUCCUGGACGAGUAUUGACGCUGAGGCGCGAAAGCGUGGGGAUCAAACAGGAUUAGAAACCCUUGUAGUCCU
This 467-nucleotide ribosomal RNA is filed under the name uncultured bacterium. Its description in RNAcentral is "bacterial SSU rRNA". It matches the Rfam family "Bacterial small subunit ribosomal RNA", at positions 339 to 797 of the family's 1533-position model. The record is from RNAcentral.